This 402-nucleotide ribosomal RNA is filed under the name uncultured bacterium. Its description in RNAcentral is "bacterial SSU rRNA". It matches the Rfam family "Bacterial small subunit ribosomal RNA", at positions 29 to 434 of the family's 1533-position model. The record is from RNAcentral.
AUUGAACGCUGGCGGCGUGCCUAACACAUGCAAGUCGAGCGGCAGCGCGGGAGCAAUCCUGGCGGCGAGCGGCGGACGGGUGAGUAACGCUUGGGAAUCUGCCUGUUAGUGGGGGACAACCCGGGGAAACGUCGGGCUGAUACCGCAUACGCACUACGGUGGAAAGCCGGGGACCGCAAGGCCUGGCGCUAACAGAUGAGCCCAAGUCGGAUUAGCUAGUUGGUAGGGUAACGGCCACCAAGGCGACGAUCCGUAACUGGUCUGAGAGGACGACCAGUCACACCGGAACUGAGACACGGUCCGGACUCCUACGGGAGGCAGCAGUGGGGAUAUUGGACAAUGGGGAAACCCUGAUCCAGCGACGCCGCGUGGGUGAAGAAGGCCUGCGGGUUGUAAAGCCCC